UGAGUGUAAACCUGUGUACCUACUACGUCCC
This 31-nucleotide non-coding RNA is filed under the name Rattus norvegicus (Norway rat). Lineage: Eukaryota; Metazoa; Chordata; Mammalia; Rodentia; Muridae. The record is from RNAcentral.